RNAcentral lists this long non-coding RNA (359 nucleotides) under Pan troglodytes (chimpanzee). RNAcentral describes it as "lincRNA". Lineage: Eukaryota; Metazoa; Chordata; Mammalia; Primates; Hominidae. The record is from RNAcentral.
GGGCUAAAUAAUAGUGCUUUGGUUGCUUUAUAUACCAAAAUAAUUCCUAGGAAGAGAAUACUGGUUGUCAGUUGAGCUUUAAAACAGAUGUGAGUUUUGAUGCCUCCUGGGGAAAGAUCCACAGAGCAUCAAGGAAGAAAUCCUUCCUCGUCACAACCUUCCCCUAUCAUCAGGGAAUGCACGUGUUCAGGAAUUAAGAAGAAAGAGCAUCCAAUCCCACCUCUGUCCUGGGUUGGUUCCCAUGAGCAAGCAAAUGUGCUGUAUUAAUGCCUAUUAAAAAUACAUACAUAUUUAUAUAUAUAAACAUAUGAACAUAUUAAGAAAAUACUAUGUUCCCAAAUUGCAAAACAAAAAUAUUA